CAGCAGCCGCGGGAAUACGUAGGGUGCGAGCGUUAAUCGGAAUUACUGGGCGUAAAGCGUGCGCAGGCGGUUGUGUAAGACAGGUGUGAAAUCCCCGGGCUUAACCUGGGAACUGCGCUUGUGACUGCACAGCUAGAGUAUGGCAGAGGGGGGUGGAAUUCCACGUGUAGCAGUGAAAUGCGUAGAGAUGUGGAGGAACACCGAUGGCGAAGGCAGCCCCCUGGGCCAAUACUGACGCUCAUGCGCGAAAGCGUGGGGAGCAAACAGGAUUAGAUACCCCCGUAGUCCCUGUCCUUAUACA
RNAcentral lists this ribosomal RNA (301 nucleotides) under uncultured bacterium. RNAcentral describes it as "partial 16S ribosomal RNA". It matches the Rfam family "Bacterial small subunit ribosomal RNA", at positions 509 to 809 of the family's 1533-position model. The record is from RNAcentral.